AGGAGAUGUAUUUAUGGAUUUACAGGCCUU
RNAcentral lists this transfer RNA (30 nucleotides) under Aristelliger barbouri (Striped Caribbean gecko). Its description in RNAcentral is "partial tRNA-Ala". The record is from RNAcentral. Lineage: Eukaryota; Metazoa; Chordata; Lepidosauria; Squamata; Sphaerodactylidae.